Molecule: transfer RNA, 77 nt
Filed under: Bacilli bacterium
Lineage: Bacteria; Bacillati; Bacillota; Bacilli
Also listed under: 1 other name
Description: tRNA-Arg
Rfam family: tRNA
About the family: Transfer RNA (tRNA) molecules are approximately 80 nucleotides in length. Their secondary structure includes four short double-helical elements and three loops (D, anti-codon, and T loops).
Source: RNAcentral
GCCCCAUUAGCUCAGCUGGAUAGAGCAUCAGUUUCCUAAACUGAGGGUCGUAAGUUCAAGUCUUAUAUGGGGCUCCA